UGGCAUUGUAAUAAUUUUUAUUAUGCAAUAAGAAAUGGUUAAAAGUCUACGAUGUGAAUACACAGUAUGUGCCAGAUACAUAUUAAGGAUACUUGGGAGUUCAUUAAAUAUGUAAUCAUAUUCAAAAUUAAUUAAUACCAUAAAUCCCACCCAUCUAUCGACAUAUGACUCGUAUUUCUAUAGAAAGAAAUAUUCUACAAUUUCCAGAUAUCUUUUCAAAAAGUUAAGGACAGCUUGCACAGAUAUUAACAGUCUAGUUGUUCGAUCUUUACAUAAUAAAUGUAAUGCUUGUUCUGUCAGCUGUAGAAUACAAUUAUAAUUUAAAACUAAUUGUCAG
Molecule: long non-coding RNA, 337 nt
Filed under: Mytilus galloprovincialis (Mediterranean mussel)
Lineage: Eukaryota; Metazoa; Mollusca; Bivalvia; Mytilida; Mytilidae
Source: RNAcentral